GCAUGUGUCAUACCGCAUCCAUAUUGCUUAUUCGCGAAUUGUUCGUGAAACAUGAUCGCCAGCCAGUGUGGACACUUCAGCAAAUAAGUUACAGCGAAUUCAUCUGCGAACAACGAACACCGUUGGUAAUAUAUCAAACUAGAUUCACAUUGCUGUUCGCGAAUUAUUCUUAACAAUUCGUAAACUACGUUUCGAACACCGAAGGACACCAUUUUCGAGCAAUUUCGUCAAUUGUUUACCGAUGAAUACACACCUUCAAAGAAUCUUUCGAAGAACGUAUUUGAACGUCAACAUUAUUUGCUGGCCAAUCGUUGAAUGCUAUUAGCUGUUCGCAAGAAUAUCCACACUAACCUCGAAUAAUUUACAAACUUGUGAGCAGCGGUCAUACAGUCACAUUCACGUUCACGACAACUCUCAAAAUCAAUGUAGAUGUAGCAUCAAACAUACAUAGCAAUAUAAUCGGUUACAUUAAAAUACACGAUUUCUACUUCGAUGGAAGGAAAUACGCGCCAUACAACACGCGGUGUAUAAAACACGCUCGUGUAUCCCUGGCCUAAGGGGUCGUCGCACACAGCGGGUUUCCGCGGUUUUUAAAGGGCAGCGCUUAUUACACAGAUUGGAUUAAAGGUCUGGAGUCUCAUGGACGGUGAGAGAGAAGAAAGAAAAGCAGGAUAGGAGAAAGGGAGAGAAAGGAGGUAAAAUUGAACAAGAACGUUACGUCGAGAAGAACUUGUUAUUAGAUGAACGUUGAGAGUCGAAAGAGGGAAGAUGUGUGAUCUCGGUUGCAAGUUUAUGCUACAUGGAAUGCAUUCUAUCGAAUGGUUGGUAGAAAGAUGAUGAUCGGACGGAUGGAAUUAUUACAGAGAUAAUUAUUACAGGUGAGAUUAUGGCGAGUCACGGAAAUAGGUGAAUCAGUAGUAGUUGAAUAUUACUUUUAUAAGAAUAGUCUUCUUAUCAACAAUCUAACAAUAAUAAAAAUUUGUUCGUUAUUUAUGUAUUUAUAGUUGCAUACGGAUCUUCGUUUUUUUGUUCCAAUUUUUAAAAAGUAAAUAUUCGUCAAAAUAUUUAAGAGCAGAAAAACAGGUCAUAAACAAGAAUCUUUAUUGAAGGAGAAGAGAUACGGCAAAAAUAAAAUGAUAAAAGCUUGACAUAUUCAAAAAAUAUAUAUGAAAAAAUAUUAUCAAGAAUAAUAUUUAACCAAAUCUAUAUGCAUGCAUCCGCAUUACGAUUGAAAUUUUCAUUCACGAUCCGAUCCAACAAAAUAUCCUUCUCUUUCCAGAAGGGAACCCUUCUCUCCCAUCUCUUUUCCCCAUUCACAAAAAUCCCUUCGAUCCAUCGUUCCAACAUCCGCGAUUCCUCUCUCGGACCCUCAAUUUCAUUAAAUUCGCCCAAUCGGACCAUAUUUAUCGAACGAUCGCGAUAAUUCUCAUUUUCUACCUUGUUUGCCUCAUCUUCCAAAGCGAAAGAGGAAACUUUACCCGAUAUCCCUCUCGUGUCAUCCUUCUCCGGAUCACGCAAAACGGGUCCAAAGGGGGAUCGAAACGGUUGGCCCAUGUUUACAGUUGACUCGUAUAAGCCGUUGCAAUGUUGCACCGCGAAACGAAUGUGUCGGCGUCCGAAGCGACGACGCAAUGGGAACCGCCCGAGGCGUGUCGGUGCACCCUUGCAAAAGGCUCUCAAUCGCAAGAAUGCAAAGGCCAACCGGUCCGCUCGAUCAGAAUUUCGGCCGUGCCCUGCCCGUGCAAACCUCGCCUUUAAAAUAGUCUACUUUAUUGUCGGACGCGUGAGAAAAUCCGACUUUUACGAGUCGAUGAUGCGCGUCGAUCUUGCCUCCUUUAAUAUCGCGUUGCGUGAAAAUUGAUCGGUCGAUUUUUUCAUGGUGCCACGUUCGAAGUUGUACGGGUUUUGGAAUGAAGUUGUUCGAGAUACGUCGAAUAAAGAAGAGAGAGAGAGUAGAUUGAGCUUAAUUUUCAUUUAGUAAUUCCAUUAUACGGUUUUGAAACGAAGUUAUUUCUUAAUAAUAUUAAUACAUUUUGAGACAAAGAAACAAUUGUACCUAAUUUUCAUUUAUAACAGCCCAACUAGGAGAAUGUUCUAAUAAGUAUUAUUUUUAUUUUCUUAAAUUGAAAUUUUCCAAUAAACAUUCCAAUCCAAACGAUCCACGGAAUAAUAAUCGACGGCUCUAAUAGUAUCGAUCGGUCUUAAGCGUAACCCGACGUAAAAGAAAGAAAGAAAAAAAGAAUACAAAAGCUCGAGAAUAAUCGAGGGUGGCGGAAGAGGAUUCAAGAAUUCGCAUAAAUUUGUCCGCAUUCUGCGCGCGGUCCUCUGGGCGCGAGGCAAUAUUUUUCCGGGGCGAAAGGUGGAAAAAAAAAAAAAAAAUAAAGAAAAACGAAAGACUGAAACGACGACGACGACGACUUGGAAACGUCGAGAUAUAUUUCGCCCCGGAUCUCAAUAAAGCAACGGCCAAUGCAAUUCUUUCUCCUUUUUUUUCCACCUUUUCCUCUCCCUCCUCCCUCCUUUCCCUCUUUCAUCUUCUUUCUUCCUCCUUUUUUCUUCACCCCCCUCCUCCUCUUUUCUCUCUCUCUCUCUCCUCUCGAAAAGUAAUCGGUAAUCCCUGCAACGGAGGGCACUAACGAGAAUUAAUACCGAGCGGAGUGUUUGUUUUGUGACUCGGCAGCCGGGCUUUUAAAGAUCCGAGUCGCACAUGGGAAUCAGUUCGCGAGGCCACGUCUGAAUAAAUUAAAUCCUUACCAGGAAUUCACUAACGACCUGUACCUCUCUCCGGCUACACCACAUCUCUUAAUGCAUGUUCUAUGGGCCUCCCUCUCCUCCUCCUCCUCCUCCUGUAUACCACGGGAUUUUUAUUUUACGCGUAUUCUUUAUUCAUUUUUUUUUUCUCUUUCCUCUUCGUUUUUUUUUCCAGAUCGGAAGACUGUUUUGUCUCGGUGCGUACACAAUGAAGAGGGAACGAAACGCACAGGAGUGAAAUUGUUUUUUGCUAGUCAUGACUUCUAAUAAGGAACAAAAGCCGCCUUUUACACGGGAUUGAUAUUUGAAUUUUUUGAUCGAUCGGCUUCUCUCUCUUCCCUUUCUCCAGCUGCCAUGAAUUAAUCGUGAAUAUUGAUUGUUGAUCGAUCUUUUUUUUUUUUUUUUUAAAGAAAAUUUUUCGCUCGAUAAUUUAUUUUUGUAUUUCUGUUUUUCCACUGCGGCGCGGAGCGGAUGAAUUAGAGGGUGUGUGUAGUAAAAAUCAUUCAUCAUAUAUCAAGCAGAAACAUCUAGUUUAUUGAAUUAUUGAAAAAAUAUAUAUAUAUAUGUGUGUGUGUAUAUUUUAUAGAAUUUUACAGUUUACAUACAUUUUUACUCGAUUAUAAAAAUUAUAAUUAUACAUCUUUUUCAUCUUUCCCAAUUUUUCCUCUAAUGUUUUCGUUGGAUCGAGAAGAAAAAUUAUUAAAAAAAGAGAUAAAAAAUUUUAAAGUUUACCAUAUAAUCAACCGUCUAUUCCGAUAUACGGGGAGAGGAUAAUUUUUCAAUUGCACUUUACAAAUGUACGCAAGUGCGAGAAGCGGUCGCAUUUUGCCCCGCGUUUGUCAUUGCACUCCACCUGUUAUCGUCAAUUGCGCCGACGAACGUGCAAACUUGAGCGCGCGUUCAACAGCACAAUACCUCUUUCUCUUUCCCCGAGACGGUGAUAAUUAUCAACGUGAGAAACCGCGCCUCCCCUCCCCUCGGAAUGUGGAAUGUUUGUUCGCGGCGAAAGUUCCCCCUCCCCACCGCCUUAAUUUCGGCGGAGACUCGCCUAACUUCCUUCGAUUCAAUCCCCAGGAUUUUCUUGAAACGAAAUUCUUUCGAAUUCAUCGUAUCGGAGGCAAGAGAUUUUUUAAGCUAGAAUAGAUCGUUUCGAGUGAUGAUUCACUUUGGCAGAGAAUAAUAUAAAAAUAAGAAAAAUAUUGUAAUCGUAUUAGGACAUGAUUAUCAUUGGCCAGAUUGAAUCGAUAGAAAGUUUAAGAGAGAUCGUUAAGAGAGAUACCGUUAAUACACAAGGAAAAGUAAGCGGAAUAUAGCGAAAGAUAAACUGUGCGCCAUUUUGGAGCGAGCCACUUAUUUAUGACAGGUAUAAUUGUACACAUGUGCACGGUUUCCUCGUUUUUUGGACACGGGAAUAAUUAAUCAGAACAAGGUGUAUCAUUUUUCAAGGUGAUCAGCUCGGCGAGAAACAUUGGCAACGUUAUGCCACAUGUGAACCGCGUUCCUUUCAAACGAAGGAAUGAAAAAGCGUUUCUUUCGUUCGAGAGGAAUCGUGCCAUUAUAUUCCAUGGAUAAAAUAUUUAAAUCGAAAUUCGAUUAUAUCGUCACCUUUCUUGGUACAUUUACAAAUUCUACAAAAUUAUCCUCCUUUUUUCUAUAACAUACAGAUGAUAAAACGGAUAUAGAUAUAGAUAACAAAAAAAUAUGACAUCAUUGAAAACGUUAUUAAAUUAAAUCAAUCGAAAAGAUCAAUGUACAGUAAUAAUAGGGAUAUAAAUAUUUUUAAUAUCAAAAAAAAAAUAAUAAAAAUAAAAGACAUCACAGUUAUCCCUCGAAUGGAUUCACCGACACGCUCACACGUAAACAAAGGUGCGAAAUUAUGAAACGUUAACGUCGCAGACGCGCUCAACAAUAACAACGAAUCAAAAUGAAAAGAAAAAUAUAUUACCCGGGAUAAAAAUCAUCCGACAAUUCUUCCUUAUCGAAUUAAGAAAAAAGAAAAAGAAAAAGAAGAAAGAAAUCAUCCCCCGCACAAUUCCCAUUACAAUUUCUUAAUGACGUGUAUUCAUACAAAAGCAGACUCACUGUCUCUGGACCGGGCGCAGACGGUGAUAAUUAUCACCGUGAGAAACGUCAUGUAUCACCUAAGGCGAGCCACCUUGCGAGAGAUGGUGCCGAUGCUGAUGUUGGGCCGAUGGCGGUGGUUGGUUGGGCUGUUUUCAAAAGGGCCUCUUCCAUCCUCGUGAGGAACAAGGACAAGGAUAAAGAUAGAGAGAGAGAGGAGAGAACGGUUGGAUUUCGACGAAGGAAGGCACGAGGAGGAAUUUGAUUUACGCAUCGGUUCGUUGAAGUGGAUGUAUUGUGCGAGAAAACAUUGUGAUGCAUUGUGGAAUGACUGUCGGGGGAUAAGGUCUUAAUUACCGCGUGUGCCAUAUUGACGCGCCUUGUAUCCUGGUAUGACCGGCCGUUUUCAACGAAUUGCGAAAAGUCACCGGGAGUGAAUGGUCAAACAAUGAGGUUGCGGAAUUUUGAGCUAACACCCGUUGAAAAGAUGAUUGGUUAAAAUUUCGUGUAAAGUUGAAAGUCGCUUUGUGUAUCGUAAUCGAACGUAACUCGCAGAUAUAAUGCGAAAUUUCCUUCCGAAAUUUUAAAUGCAUUCGGGGUGGAGAUGGUUCGUAUUUUUUGUGAUAAAUCGUUCGUGAUUGCAAAAUGUUAAUUGUGAAAACAUUUAAAAUUAGUUAUUAUUUAAUUGUUUUUUUAAACAGGAUCGAGCUGGAUCGUGGAAGAAAGUUGAACCGGAAGCUUUUACCAGCCACUUCGCGUCAAUACCUUUUAAUUGAUCGUUUGUGUUUCAAGUAGGUAAUAGAUUUUCAAUGUAAUUUCAAUAAGAGGUUAAACAUAUAUAAAUUGAAUAAAUUGAAGUUCGUUAGAAUUAAA
This is an RNA transcript of Apis cerana (Asiatic honeybee), 5685 nucleotides long. RefSeq lists it as uncharacterized. NCBI's taxonomy places the organism in Eukaryota, Metazoa, Arthropoda, Insecta, Hymenoptera, Apidae. The record is from RefSeq and is a predicted model, not a curated record.